UAUUGAUUGGUGCUUGCAUCAUGAUUUACAUUUGAGUGAGUGGCGAACUGGUGAGUAACACGUGGGAAACCUGCCCAGAAGCGGGGGAUAACACCUGGAAACAGAUGCUAAUACCGCAUAACAACUUGGACCGCAUGGUCCGAGUUUGAAAGAUGGCUUCGGCUAUCACUUUUGGAUGGUCCCGCGGCGUAUUAGCUAGAUGGUGGGGUAACGGCUCACCAUGGCAAUGAUACGUAGCCGACCUGAGAGGGUAAUCGGCCACAUUGGGACUGAGACACGGCCCAAACUCCUACGGGAGGCAGCAGUAGGGAAUCUUCCACAAUGGACGAAAGUCUGAUGGAGCAACGCCGCGUGAGUGAAGAAGGGUUUCGGCUCGUAAAACUCUGUUGUUAAAGAAGAACAUAUCUGAGAGUAACUGUUCAGGUAUUGACGGUAUUUAACCAGAAAGCCACGGCUAACUACGUGCCAGCAGCCGCGGUAAUACGUAGGUGGCAAGCGUUGUCCGGAUUUAUUGGGUGUAAAGCGAGCGCAGGCGGUUUUACAAGUGUGAUGUGAAAGCUUUCUGCUCAACAGAAGAAGUGCAUCGGAAACUGGGAAACUUGAGUGCAGAAGAGGACAGUGGAACUCCAUGUGUAGCGGUGAAAUGUGUAGAUAUAUGGAAGAACACCAGUGGCGAAGGCGGCUGUCUGGUCUGUAACUGACGCUGAGGCUCGAAAGUAUGGGUAGCAAACAGGAUUAGAUACCCUGGUAGUCCAUACCGUAAACGAUGAAUGCUAAGUGUUGGAGGGUUUCCGCCCUUCAGUGCUGCAGCUAACGCAUUAAGCAUUCCGCCUGGGGAGUACGGCCGCAAGGCUGAAACUCAAAGGAAUUGACGGGGGCCCGCACAAGCGGUGGAGCAUGUGGUUUAAUUCGAAGCUACGCGAAGAACCUUACCAGGUCUUGACAUACUAUGCAAAUCUAAGAGAUUAGACGUUCCCUUCGGGGACAUGGAUACAGGUGGUGCAUGGUUGUCGUCAGCUCGUGUCGUGAGAUGUUGGGUUAAGUCCCGCAACGAGCGCAACCCUUAUUAUCAGUUGCCAGCAUUAAGUUGGGCACUCUGGUGAGACUGCCGGUGACAAACCGGAGGAAGGUGGGGAUGACGUCAAAUCAUCAUGCCCCUUAUGACCUGGGCUACACACGUGCUACAAUGGAUGGUACAACGAGUUGCGAACUCGCGAGAGUAAGCUAAUCUCUUAAAGCCAUUCUCAGUUCGGAUUGUAGGCUGCAACUCGCCUACAUGAAGUCGGAAUC
RNAcentral lists this ribosomal RNA (1290 nucleotides) under Lactiplantibacillus plantarum. RNAcentral describes it as "bacterial SSU rRNA". It matches the Rfam family "Bacterial small subunit ribosomal RNA", at positions 68 to 1333 of the family's 1533-position model. Lineage: Bacteria; Bacillati; Bacillota; Bacilli; Lactobacillales; Lactobacillaceae. The record is from RNAcentral.